This is a non-coding RNA of Treponema sp. OMZ 838, 112 nucleotides long. The record is from Rfam. Lineage: Bacteria; Pseudomonadati; Spirochaetota; Spirochaetia; Treponematales; Treponemataceae.
AAAACGCUGCGAGUUUGCGUAAGCGCAAACAUCGCGUAUUAACAUGUGCGCUACCGCGCACGAAUGCAACAAUUUCCAAAGUUCAUACUUUGUUCAACUGUUGCAUUUUAAG